GGGGGUAACCGGUAUCGACUGAUGGGGAAGUAGAAAAGGUGCAAGGGUGAGGGAAGCGUGGCUCACUAAAAACGCUUAAACUUUUAAUCGCAAAUGACGAUUUUAACAUGGAGAUGGCGGCUUAAUAACCUGACCACUCUUGAGGCGACGGCAGCCAAUAAACAGAAAGCCGUAUUUUGUCUUCUAAGUGCUUUUGAUUAUUUUAGCCGUAAUAAGAUGAUCUAGUCAAGUUGUCUGUCCGACGAAAAAUACAGACACAACCUUGUGAAUGACCUUUCUGUGGAACUAGACAAGACGGGAGUUCGAUUCUCCCUACCUCCACCA
This 324-nucleotide transfer-messenger RNA is filed under the name Rickettsiales bacterium. It matches the Rfam family "transfer-messenger RNA". Rfam says of the family: Bacterial tmRNA, also known as 10Sa RNA or SsrA, is named for its dual tRNA and mRNA-like properties. Its role is to liberate the mRNA from a stalled ribosome. To accomplish this part of the tmRNA is used as a reading frame that ends in a translation stop signal. Lineage: Bacteria; Pseudomonadati; Pseudomonadota; Alphaproteobacteria; Rickettsiales. The record is from RNAcentral.